This is a long non-coding RNA of Clupea harengus (Atlantic herring), 661 nucleotides long. NCBI's taxonomy places the organism in Eukaryota, Metazoa, Chordata, Actinopteri, Clupeiformes, Clupeidae. The record is from Ensembl.
CAGACAGGGCCAGCUGUGGCAGAGGAGAUAGAUGGGAUCCUGGAGGAGUUUGAAGUGAGGCAGAGGGUAGUGGCAGCCACUGUUGACAACGCAGCAAACAUGAGUGUAGCCUUGAAGACUGAUCAAUUUGCCAUGUUUCGCGCACUCACUGAACCUCGGAGCUCAGAAGCUGUACAACUGUAAUACGAUUUCCAACUGGGUGGCAAGGAUUCGUGCUGUGGUUGUAUGGAUGAAGAGAUCCCACAUGGCCAAAGUAAUCCUCAAGGAGAAGCAAGAACUCCUCAAGCUGCCAAAGCACAUGCUCCUCUUGGAUGUGAAGAUGAGAUGGAACUCUCUGUUUUUGAUGAUGGAAAGAUUCUGUGAGCAGUUUUUUGCCAUCCAAGCUGCAGCUAUAGAACCACGGCUUAGAAAGCCCAUGGAAAAGGAGAAACUGGCCAAAAUGGGCAACGAGGACUUGAGGAAAGCAGAGGAGUUUGUGCUGCUGAUGCGGAAGCAUUACACGUCCACACUCGCUGUCUCCAGUGCCAAAGUCCAACCUGUGGCCAAAUACUGCCUAUCCUCCAGAAGUUGCAGACACAUUACACAGUGCAGGCAGAUGACUCUGCAUUCGUGAGGAGCGUUAAAGAGAACAUUUGGAACGAUCUUUCAAAACACUACCAGG